Molecule: ribosomal RNA, 465 nt
Filed under: uncultured bacterium
Lineage: Bacteria
Description: partial 16S ribosomal RNA
Rfam family: Bacterial small subunit ribosomal RNA
Source: RNAcentral
GACGAACGCUGGCGGCGUGCUUAACACAUGCAAGUCGAACGGAAAGGCCCCUUUGGGGGUACUCGAGUGGCGAACGGGUGAGUAACACGUGAGUAACCUGCCCUUGACUUCGGGAUAACUUCAGGAAACUGGGGCUAAUACCGGAUAGGAAUCCUUGCUGCAUGGUGGGGGUUGGAAAGCUUCGGCGGUUUUGGAUGGACUCGCGGCUUAUCAGCUUGUUGGUGGGGUAGUGGCUUACCAAGGCUUUUACGGGUAGCCGGCCUGAGAGGGCGACCGGCCACAUUGGGACUGAGAUGCGGCCCAGACUCCUACGGGAGGCAGCAGUGGGGAAUAUUGAACAAUGGGCGGAAGCCUGAUGCAGCAACGCCGCGUGCGGGAUGACGGCCUUCGGGUUGUAAACCGCUUUCAGCAGGGGCGAAGCUUGUGGUGACGGUACCUGCAGAAGAAGCACCGGCUAACUACGUG